UGCUAACGUUAUCCGGAAUUAUUGGGCGUAAAGCGUCCGCAGGUGGCACCUCAAGUCUGCUGUCAAAGACCGGGGCUUAACCCCAGAAAGGCGGUGGAAACUGAAGUGCUAGAGUGCAGUAGGGGUAGAGGGAAUUCCCGGUGUAGCGGUGAAAUGCGUAGAUAUCGAGAGGAACACCUGCGGCGAAGGCGGGUAGCUGGGCCGACACUGACGCUGAGGCGCGAAAGCUAGGGGAGCAAACGGG
RNAcentral lists this ribosomal RNA (244 nucleotides) under uncultured bacterium. Its description in RNAcentral is "partial 16S ribosomal RNA". It matches the Rfam family "Bacterial small subunit ribosomal RNA", at positions 533 to 776 of the family's 1533-position model. The record is from RNAcentral.